Schistocerca americana (American grasshopper) is the source of this 74-nucleotide non-coding RNA. Lineage: Eukaryota; Metazoa; Arthropoda; Insecta; Orthoptera; Acrididae. The record is from the annotation of a RefSeq genome assembly.
UGCUUGGUAGCUCAGUUGGUAGAGCACUUGCCUCCGAAAAGCAAAGAUCCUGAGUUCGAGUCUCGGUUAGGCAU